Molecule: ribosomal RNA, 523 nt
Filed under: uncultured bacterium
Lineage: Bacteria
Description: partial 16S ribosomal RNA
Rfam family: Bacterial small subunit ribosomal RNA
Source: RNAcentral
GACGAACGCUGGCGGCGUGCUUAACACAUGCAAGUCGAACGGACAGACAGAGAGCUUGCUCUCUUGAAGUUAGUGGCGAACGGGUGAGUAACGCGUAAUCAACCUGCCCUUCAGAGGGGGAUAACAACGGGAAACCGUUGCUAAUACCGCGUACGACUCAUGAACGGCAGCGUUUAUGAAUGAAAGGUGGCCUCUAUGUGUAAGCUAUCGCUGAAGGAGGGGAUUGCGUCUGAUUAGCUAGUUGGAGGGGUAACGGCCCACCAAGGCAAUGAUCAGUAGCCGGUCUGAGAGGAUGAACGGCCACAUUGGGACUGAGAUACGGCCCAGACUCCUACGGGAGGCAGCAGCUAAGAAUAUUCCGCAAUGGACGAAAGUCUGACGGAGCGACGCCGCGUGGAUGACGAAGGCCGAAAGGUUGUAAAAUCCUUUUGUUGGGGAAGAAUAAGGCUGGGAGGGAAUGCCCGGCUGAUGACAUGAACCGACGAAUAAGUCCCGGCUAACUACGUGCCAGCCGCCGCCGUAA